CAUGUAAUAACAGAUGUACUUGAGGCAUGGGGUGGAAAAACAUGCAACGUGUUACUCUCAAAGAUCAGUGCCUAUAAGCUCUUUUACUGGGACAUAAAGCAACUUGGUCCAGACAUGGAGUUGGAAAGCGAGUCAAUCAACGCUUAUCUUCACCUCCU
This is a long non-coding RNA of Cyprinodon tularosa, 158 nucleotides long. RefSeq lists it as uncharacterized. The transcript has 3 exons. The record is from RefSeq and is a predicted model, not a curated record. Lineage: Eukaryota; Metazoa; Chordata; Actinopteri; Cyprinodontiformes; Cyprinodontidae.